UAGGGAAUCUUCGGCAAUGGGGGCAACCCUGACCGAGCAACGCCGCGUGAGUGAAGAAGGUUUUCGGAUCGUAAAGCUCUGUUGUAAGAGAAGAACGUGUGUGAGAGUGGAAAGUUCACACAGUGACGGUAACUUACCAGAAAGGGACGGCUAACUACGUGCCAGCAGCCGCGGUAAUACGUAGGUCCCGAGCGUUGUCCGGAUUUAUUGGGCGUAAAGCGAGCGCAGGCGGUUUAAUAAGUCUGAAGUUAAAGGCAGUGGCUUAACCAUUGUUCGCUUUGGAAACUGUUAAAAUUGAGUGCAGAAGGGGAGAGGGGAAUUCCAUGUGUAGCGGUGAAAUGCGUAGAUAUAUGGAGGAACACCGGUGGCGAAAGCGGCUCUCUGGUCUGUAACUGACGCUGAGGCUCGAAAGCGUGGGGAGCAAACAGG
RNAcentral lists this ribosomal RNA (429 nucleotides) under bacterium. RNAcentral's name for it is "partial 16S ribosomal RNA". It matches the Rfam family "Bacterial small subunit ribosomal RNA", at positions 355 to 776 of the family's 1533-position model. The record is from RNAcentral.